This 246-nucleotide unclassified non-coding RNA is filed under the name uncultured Pleosporales. RNAcentral describes it as "sequence contains 5.8S rRNA gene, ITS2, 28S rRNA gene". The stretch from base 1 to 52 matches the Rfam family "5.8S ribosomal RNA", at positions 103 to 154 of the family's 154-position model. Lineage: Eukaryota; Fungi; Ascomycota; Dothideomycetes; Pleosporales. The record is from RNAcentral.
AACGCACAUUGCGCCCAUUGGUAUUCCGAUGGGCAUGCCUGUUCGAGCGUCAUUAAACCCCUCAAGCUCUGCUUGGUGUUGGGCGUCUGUCCCGCUACGGCGCGGACUCGCCCCAAAGGCAUUGGCAGCGGCCUCGCCAGCUUCUCGCGCAGCACAUUGCGCUUCUCGGAGCCCUGGCGGACCAGCGUCCACGAAGCUAUUCUACGACUUGACCUCGGAUCAGGUAGGGAUACCCGCUGAACUUAA